This 497-nucleotide ribosomal RNA is filed under the name uncultured bacterium. Its description in RNAcentral is "partial 16S ribosomal RNA". It matches the Rfam family "Bacterial small subunit ribosomal RNA", at positions 28 to 507 of the family's 1533-position model. The record is from RNAcentral.
GAUGAACGCUGGCGGCGUGCCUAAUACAUGCAAGUCGAGCGAACGGACGAGAAGCUUGCUUUUCUGAUGUUAGCGGCGGACGGGUGAGUAAAACGUGGAUAACCUACCUAUAAGACUGGGAUAACUUCGGGAAACCGGUGCUAAUACCGGAUAAUAUUUUGAACCGCAUGGUUCAAAAGUGAAAGACGGUCUUGCUGUCACUUAUAGAUGGAUCCGCGCUGCAUUAGCUAGUUGGUAAGGUAACGGCUUACCAAGGCAACGAUGCAUAGCCGACCUGAGAGGGUGAUCGGCCACACUGGAACUGAGACACGGUCCAGACUCCUACGGGAGGCAGCAGUAGGGAAUCUUCCGCAAUGGGCGAAAGCCUGACGGAGCAACGCCGCGUGAGUGAUGAAGGUCUUCGGAUCGUAAAACUCUGUUAUUAGGGAAGAACAGAUGUGUAAGUAACUGUGCACAUCUUGACGGUACCUAAUCAGAAAGCCACGGCUAACUACGUG